Molecule: ribosomal RNA, 297 nt
Filed under: uncultured bacterium
Lineage: Bacteria
Description: partial 16S ribosomal RNA
Rfam family: Bacterial small subunit ribosomal RNA
Source: RNAcentral
AAUCAACGCUGGCGGCAUGCCUAACACAUGCAAGUCGAACGGGAAGUGGGAGCAAUCCCAUGAGUAUAGUGGCGAACGGGUGCGUAACACGUGAGCGGACCUGCCGUACCUGUGGGGGAUAGCCGGCCCAACGGCCGGGUAAUACCGCAUACGCUUGUCUUGGGGCAUCCUGGGACAAAGAAAGCUCUGGGGGCAACCCUGGGGCGCAGGACGAGGGGCUCGCGGCCGUAUCAGCCUAGUUGGCGGGGUAACGGCCCACCAAGGCGGUGACGGUAGCUGGUCUGAGAGGAUGGCCAG